UUGAACGCUGGCGGCAUGCUUUACACAUGCAAGUCGCACGGUAACAGGCCUUCGGGUGCUGACGAGUGGCGAACGGGUGAGUAAUGCAUCGGAACGUGCCCAGAGGUGGGGGAUAACGCAGCGAAAGCUGUGCUAAUACCGCAUGUGAUCUGAGGAUGAAAGCGGGGGACCAAGCAGCAAUGUUUGGCCUCGCGCCUCUGGAGCGGCCGAUGUCAGAUUAGGUAGUUGGUGGGGUAAAGGCCUACCAAGCCGACGAUCUGUAGCUGGUCUGAGAGGACGACCAGCCACACUGGGACUGAGACACGGCCCAGACUCCUACGGGAGGCAGCAGUGGGGAAUUUUGGACAAUGGGCGCAAGCCUGAUCCAGCAAUGCCGCGUGCGGGAAGAAGGCCUUCGGGUUGUAAACCGCUUUUGUACGGAACGAAAAGGCUCUGGCUAAUACCUGGGGCUGAUGACGGUACCGUAAGAAUAAGCACCGGCUAACUACGUG
This 491-nucleotide ribosomal RNA is filed under the name uncultured bacterium. RNAcentral describes it as "partial 16S ribosomal RNA". It matches the Rfam family "Bacterial small subunit ribosomal RNA", at positions 30 to 507 of the family's 1533-position model. The record is from RNAcentral.